This is an RNA transcript of Impatiens glandulifera, 4558 nucleotides long. It is a transcript of the gene named splicing factor 3B subunit 1, with no coding region annotated. Lineage: Eukaryota; Viridiplantae; Streptophyta; Magnoliopsida; Ericales; Balsaminaceae. The record is from RefSeq and is a predicted model, not a curated record. The transcript has 4 exons.
CAAUACCCAAAAUCGCGAUUUGCCCUAAUUGGUCUGUUCUUCAUUUCUUCUUGUCUCUGCUUCAAAUCGAAGAUCGGGGAUCUCAAGAUCAAUUUCUUUAGCUUUCUUCGUAUAUCACAGCAGGUUUACUUCUUUCAAGAUUGACGGCAAUAUCUUAGCGCUUCUUGUUGAAUUCGACUAGCUUUAUUAGAAAACACGAUAGCUGUAGUUUUCUUGGGUGACUGUCGUAGUAGUAUUUGGCUGUGAAGCUCGAAUAUUGAGAGAUGGAUUCGGAUGAGAUUGCGAAGACUCAGGAAGAGAGGAAAAAGAUGGAGCAGCAACUGGCUUCGCUCACUUCAGUUACCUUCGACACUGAUUUGUAUGGCGGCAACAAUCCAUUCGACGGGUACGAGAAGUCGAUUCCUGUAAACGAGGAAGAGGAGAUCGUGGAAUCCACGGAAUCGGAAUUCAGGAAGAAGUUGUCUUCAUAUACUGCUCCAAAAUCAAUCAUGAACGAAAUCCCUAAAGGCGGUGAGGAGGAGGAUUCCAUGGGUGGAUUUCAGAAGCCGCAGAGGAUUAUUGACAGAGAAGAUGACUACCGACGGAGGAGACUGACUCGUAUCAUCUCUCCAGACAGGCAUGAUGCAUUCGCUUCUGGGGACAAGACUCCAGAUAUUAAUGUGAGGACAUAUGCAGAUAUUAUGAGGGAUGAAGCUUUGAAAAGAGAUAAAGAGGAGACUUUAAGGUUGAUUGCUAAGAAGAAGAAGGAUGAAGAGGAGAAUAAGUCAUCUGAGAAGGAAAGGGAGCCGGUUGCUGCUUCUCAGCCUUCCCAGAAGAGGAGGAACAGGUGGGAUCAGAAUCAGAACCAGAACCCUAAUCAGAAUCAGGACGAUUCAAUUGCUAAGAAAGCAAAGAUGGAUUCCGAUUGGGACAUGCCCGAUUCCGCCCCUGGAGUUGGAAGUGGAAGAUGGGAUGCGACCCCUACACCAGGAAGAGUCAUCGGUGAUGCAACUCCAUCCUUAUCUAGAAGAAACAGAUGGGACGAAACCCCCACCCCCGGUCGAUUGGUUGAUUCAGACGUGACUCCAUCUGCUGGCGGUGCCACUCCUGGUGCCACCCCACACGGUAUGACAUGGGAUGCUACUCCAAAGCUGGGCGGUCUAGCUACCCCAACCCCAAAGAGGCAAAGGUCAAGAUGGGACGAAACUCCAGCCACAAUGGGAAGUGCAACUCCAAUGGCCGGAGCCACACCCACAGCUGCUUACACUCCUGGAGUAACUCCAAUCGGUGGAGUCGAACUUGCAACUCCAACUCCCGGUGCCAUCAAUCUUCGCGGUGCGAUCACACCCGAGCAGUACAACCUUCUUCGAUGGGAGAAAGAUAUUGAAGAAAGGAAUAGGCCAUUGACCGAUGAAGAACUCGAUUCAAUGUUCCCACAAGAUGGGUACAAGAUUCUAGAUCCACCUGCAUCUUACAUUCCCAUUAGAACACCUGCAAGGAAGCUUCUAGCUACUCCCACACCACUAGCAACUCCACUUUAUUCGAUCCCAGAGGAGAAUCGCGGUCAGCAGUUCGACGUUCCGAAGGAAUUGCCAGGUGGGUUACCGUUCAUGAAACCGGAAGACUAUCAGUAUUUUGCUCCGUUAUUGAACGAAGAAAACGAGGAGGAGUUAUCUCCUGAAGAGCAGAAGGAGCGUAAGAUAAUGAAACUUCUGCUCAAGGUGAAGAACGGGACGCCUCCUCAGAGGAAGACAGCUUUGAGACAGCUGACUGAUAAGGCGCGAGAGCUCGGUGCUGGCCCUUUGUUUAACCGCAUCCUGCCUUUGCUCAUGCAGCCUACUUUAGAAGAUCAAGAGAGGCAUCUUCUGGUUAAGGUUAUCGACAGGGUGUUGUAUAAGUUGGAUGAACUUGUUCGUCCCUACGUACACAAGAUUUUAGUCGUGAUUGAGCCUUUAUUGAUCGAUGAAGAUUAUUAUGCCCGUGUGGAGGGUCGUGAGAUCAUUUCAAAUCUCAGCAAGGCUGCAGGUUUGGCUACGAUGAUUGCUGCUAUGCGUCCAGAUAUCGAUAACAUAGACGAAUACGUGAGAAACACAACUGCAAGAGCUUUUAGUGUCGUCGCAUCAGCUCUCGGAAUUCCUGCUCUGUUACCAUUCUUGAAAGCAGUCUGUCAGAGUAAGAAAUCAUGGCAGGCACGUCACACUGGGAUUAAGAUCGUUCAGCAGAUUGCUAUUUUAAUAGGUUGUGCUGUCCUUCCUCAUUUAAGGUCACUAGUGGAGAUCAUCGAACACGGGCUGAACGACGAGAAUCAGAAGGUUAGAACCAUUACUGCGCUAUCGUUGGCUGCACUUGCCGAGGCUGCUGCUCCUUAUGGUAUCGAGAGCUUUGAUUCUGUAUUGAAGCCUCUAUGGAAGGGUAUUCGAUCACACCGUGGGAAGGUCCUCGCUGCGUUUUUGAAGGCAAUCGGUUUUAUCAUUCCUCUAAUGGACGCUAUAUACGCUAGCUACUAUACCAAAGAAGUCAUGGUGAUCUUGAUUCGCGAGUUCCAGUCGCCCGACGAAGAAAUGAAGAAGAUCGUUCUGAAAGUGGUGAAGCAAUGUGUGAGCACGGAGGGUGUGGAGGCUGAUUAUAUUCGUAGCGAUAUUCUCCCCGAAUUCUUCAGGAACUUCUGGGUGAGAAGGAUGGCGCUUGAUCGGAGAAACUACAGGCAGCUGGUGGAUACUACUGUAGAGAUAGCGAACAAAGUUGGAGUUGCGGAUAUAGUGGGGAGGAUAGUCGAGGAUUUGAAAGACGAGAGCGAGCCUUAUCGACGUAUGGUUAUGGAAACCAUCGAGAAAGUCGUUGCGAAUCUGGGUGCUUCCGAUAUCGAUUCUCGUUUGGAGGAGCUUCUCAUCGACGGUAUACUCUACGCGUUUCAGGAGCAGACUAGUGACGAUGCAAAUGUGAUGCUUAAUGGGUUUGGUGCGGUUGUGAAUGCUCUUGGAAUGAAGGUGAAGCCUUAUCUUCCUCAGAUAUGCGGUACGAUUAAGUGGAGGCUGAAUAACAAGAGCGCUAAGGUGAGGCAGCAGGCGGCAGAUUUGAUCUCGAGGAUUGCAGUUGUGAUGAAACAAUGCCAGGAAGAACAGCUGAUGGGUCAUCUCGGGGUCGUGUUGUACGAAUAUUUAGGGGAGGAGUAUCCAGAAGUUUUGGGGUCGAUUUUGGGAGCUUUGAAAUCUAUCGUGAAUGUAAUUGGUAUGACUAAGAUGACCCCUCCUAUUAAAGAUCUUCUCCCUCGAUUAACCCCGAUUUUGAAGAACAGACACGAGAAGGUGCAGGAGAAUUGCAUCGAUCUUGUGGGGAGGAUAGCAGAUCGAGGGGCAGAAUUCGUGCCUGCUAGGGAAUGGAUGAGGAUUUGUUUCGAGCUUCUCGAGAUGCUGAAGGCUCAUAAGAAGGGUAUUCGUCGUGCGACUGUCAACACUUUUGGUUACAUCGCGAAAGCGAUCGGUCCUCAAGACGUGUUGGCCACCUUGCUUAACAACUUGAAGGUUCAGGAGAGGCAGAAUCGUGUUUGCACAACCGUCGCGAUUGCGAUUGUGGCUGAGACUUGUUCACCCUUCACUGUCUUGCCGGCGCUGAUGAACGAGUACAGGGUGCCAGAGCUGAAUGUUCAGAAUGGAGUUUUGAAAUCGCUUUCGUUUCUGUUCGAGUACAUCGGGGAGAUGGGAAAGGAUUAUAUAUACGCGGUUACUCCUUUGUUGGAGGAUGCUUUGAUGGAUAGGGAUUUGGUUCAUAGGCAGACGGCGGCUUCGGCUGUGAAGCAUAUGGCUUUGGGAGUGGCGGGUUUGGGGUGUGAGGAUGCGUUGGUUCAUUUGUUGAAUUUUGUUUGGCCGAAUAUAUUUGAGACUUCGCCUCAUGUGAUAAAUGCGGUUAUGGAGGCGAUCGAGGGGAUGAGGGUUGCGUUGGGGGCGGCGGUUGUGUUGAAUUAUUGUCUUCAGGGGUUGUUUCAUCCGGCGAGGAAAGUUAGGGAGGUUUAUUGGAAGAUUUAUAAUUCGUUGUAUAUUGGUGGGCAGGAUGCUCUUGUGGCUGCUUAUCCGGUUCUCGAGGAUGAAGGAAGUAAUUCGUAUAGCAGACCGGAGUUGAUGAUGUUUGUUUGAAGAUGAGCUACCAAAAAACUUAUUUGGAUGGAUGGAUUGGAUGGAUAUAAGCUGACAAACCGCAGCCAAUGAAUUAUUAUUAUUUUUUUUCUAUACAAUGCUUGGUGGUGGUGGGUUGGAUACAGGAAAUUCGAAAUGACUAUGAUUUGGAUGGAUGGAUGGAUGGGAUAUAAGUGAGAAACUGCCAAUGAUUUAUCAUUUUUCUCUUCUAUACAAUGCUUGGUGGCAGAUUGGAUACAUGAAAAAAUCGAUUCAUCUUUAAAUAGUUAUAUAGGUAAUAAUCCCAACUGUUGUGGGAUUAUCUUGAGAUUUGGAGAGGUUGAAUUUGAUGAAACUCUCUUAUGUUUAUUGGACUUGUUUUUGUUCAAUGGCUUAUGCAAAUACUGUUUUUUUGAUCUAUUUUUGACACUAUUAUUCUUACUACUUAAACAUGUACUUGAUUUUCAUUA